This is a long non-coding RNA of Leptopilina boulardi, 268 nucleotides long. RefSeq lists it as uncharacterized. The transcript is spliced from 3 exons. Lineage: Eukaryota; Metazoa; Arthropoda; Insecta; Hymenoptera; Figitidae. The record is from RefSeq and is a predicted model, not a curated record.
GUAAGACAUAUCAUAUCGCAUGUGGAUAAUUAUAAGUGAAAAAAAAAAUUGAUUCAGAAAUUGAAAUGGAACUUGAAGGUAAGAAACACAAGAAAUGUCUCCACACUCGACUGGUUUACACCCCGAAAAAAAGCAGCUGUUACUUUAUUAUUGAGUUUGUUCACGUUCUAUGAACAUUCCACUGUUGUGAGACUAUUCAUUCGAGGCAAUUGUUAUACGAAAGCGUAAUGUAUUAUUUCAUUUUGGAUAUUUUUAAUUUUUAUCACUG